CCUACGUGGAGCAGCAGUGAGGAAUAUUGGUCAAUGGACGGAAGUCUGAACCAGCCAUGCCGCGUGCAGGAAGACGGCUCUAUGAGUUGUAAACUGCUUUUGUACAAGGGUAAACCUGAAUACGGGGAGGCAGCUGAAAGUACGGUACGAAUAAGGAUCGGCUAACUCCGUGCCAGCAGCCGCGGUAAUACGGAGGAUCCAAGCGUUAUCCGGAUUUAUUGGGUUUAAAGGGUGCGUAGGCGGAUUGAUAAGUUAGAGGUGAAAUGUCCGAGCUUAACUCGGGAACUGCCUCUCCUACUGGUGUUCUAGAGCGUCGAUGCGGUAGGCGGAAUGUAUGUUGUAGCGGU
RNAcentral lists this ribosomal RNA (347 nucleotides) under uncultured bacterium. Its description in RNAcentral is "partial 16S ribosomal RNA". It matches the Rfam family "Bacterial small subunit ribosomal RNA", at positions 338 to 682 of the family's 1533-position model. The record is from RNAcentral.